GCUGGCUGUGGUGGCACAUGCCUCUAGUCCCAUCUACUUGGGAGGCUUAAGUAGGAGAAUUUCUUGAGCCAGGAGCUCUGGGCUUAGUGCACUGUGCUGGUCCAUUGUUCGCACUAAGUUCAUUGUCAAUAAGAUGAUACUACCAGGUUACUCAAGGAGGGGUGAACCAGCCCAGGCCAGAAAGGGAACAGGUCAUAACUUCCAUGCUGACCUGUAUAGUAGGAUCACACCGGUGAAUAGCCAUUGCACUCCAGCCUGGGCAACAGAGUGAGGCCCUUCUCUAU
Molecule: signal recognition particle RNA, 284 nt
Filed under: Carlito syrichta (Philippine tarsier)
Lineage: Eukaryota; Metazoa; Chordata; Mammalia; Primates; Tarsiidae
Description: Metazoan signal recognition particle RNA (ENSTSYG00000028330.1)
Rfam family: Metazoan signal recognition particle RNA
About the family: The signal recognition particle (SRP) is a universally conserved ribonucleoprotein.
Source: Rfam by way of RNAcentral